This 53-nucleotide ribosomal RNA is filed under the name Fomitopsis juniperina. RNAcentral's name for it is "Antrodia juniperina partial 28S ribosomal RNA". The record is from RNAcentral. Lineage: Eukaryota; Fungi; Basidiomycota; Agaricomycetes; Polyporales; Fomitopsidaceae.
GGGUUUCGGCUUCCAAUAGUCCUUCAUUGGACAAUUCAUUUGACCUUGACCUC